GAUGAAGAACGUAGCGAAAUGCGAUAAGUAAUGUGAAUUGCAGAAUUCAGUGAAUCAUCGAAUCUUUGAACGCACAUUGCGCCCGCCAGUAUUCUGGCGGGCAUGCCUGUUCGAGCGUCAUUACAACCCUCAGGCCCCCGGGCCUGGCGUUGGGGAUCGGCGGAAGCCCCCUGCGGGCACAACGCCGUCCCCCAAAUACAGUGGCGGUCCCGCCGCAGCUUCCAUUGCGUAGUAGCUAACACCUCGCAACUGGAGAGCGGCGCGGCCACGCCGUAAAACACCCAACUUCUGAAUGUUGACCUCGAAUCAGGUAGGAAUACCCGCUGAACUUAAGCAUAUCAAUAACCGGAGGA
RNAcentral lists this unclassified non-coding RNA (353 nucleotides) under soil metagenome. Its description in RNAcentral is "partial contains 5.8S ribosomal RNA, internal transcribed spacer 2, and large subunit ribosomal RNA". The stretch from base 1 to 120 matches the Rfam family "5.8S ribosomal RNA", at positions 35 to 154 of the family's 154-position model. The record is from RNAcentral.